AAAAACAACAGAAAUAAU
This 18-nucleotide small RNA is filed under the name Arabidopsis thaliana (thale cress). RNAcentral's name for it is "ATSL048140". Lineage: Eukaryota; Viridiplantae; Streptophyta; Magnoliopsida; Brassicales; Brassicaceae. The record is from RNAcentral.